AUACGGAGGAUCCGAGCGUUAUCCGGAUUUAUUGGGUUUAAAGGGAGCGUAGGCGGACGCUUAAGUCAGUUGUGAAAGUUUGCGGCUCAACCGUAAGAUUGCAGUUGAUACUGGGUGUCUUGAGUACAGUAGAGGCAGGCGGAAUUCGUGGUGUAGCGGUGCAAUGCUUAGAUAUCACGAAGAACUCCGAUUGCGAAGGCAGCCUGCUGGACUGUAACUGACGCUGAUGCUCGAAAGUGUGGGUAUCAAACAGGAUUAGAUACCCUGGUAGUCCACACAGUAAACGAUGAAUACUCGCUGUUUGCAAUAUACAGUAAGCGGCCAAGCGAAAGCGUUAAGUAUUCCACCUGGGGAGUACGCCGGCAACGGUGAAACUCAAAGGAAUUGACGGGG
This 393-nucleotide ribosomal RNA is filed under the name uncultured bacterium. Its description in RNAcentral is "partial 16S ribosomal RNA". It matches the Rfam family "Bacterial small subunit ribosomal RNA", at positions 523 to 918 of the family's 1533-position model. The record is from RNAcentral.